RNAcentral lists this ribosomal RNA (254 nucleotides) under uncultured bacterium. RNAcentral describes it as "partial 16S ribosomal RNA". It matches the Rfam family "Bacterial small subunit ribosomal RNA", at positions 524 to 776 of the family's 1533-position model. The record is from RNAcentral.
UACGUAGGGUGCGAGCGUUGUCCGGAAUUAUUGGGCGUAAAGAGCUCGUAGGCGGUGUGUCGCGUCGGCCGUGAAAACCUGCAGCUUAACUGUGGGCUUGCGGUCGAUACGGGCAUCACUGGAGUUCGGCAGGGGAGACUGGAAUUCCUGGUGUAGCGGUGAAAUGCGUAGAUAUCAGGAGGAAUACCGAUGGCGAAGGCAGGUCUCUGGGCUAUAACUGACGCUCAUGCACGAAAGCGUGGGGAGCAAACAGG